GAGUUUGAUACGUGGCUCAGAAUGAACGCUGGCGGCAUGCCUAACACAUGCAAGUCGAACGAGACCUUCGGGUCUAGUGGCGCACGGGUGCGUAACGCGUGGGAAUCUGCCCUUGGGUUCGGAAUAACAGCGAGAAAUUGCUGCUAAUACCGGAUGAUGUCUUCGGACCAAAGAUUUAUCGCCCAGGGAUGAGCCCGCGUAGGAUUAGCUAGUUGGUGUGGUAAAGGCGCACCAAGGCGACGAUCCUUAGCUGGUCUGAGAGGAUGAUCAGCCACACUGGGACUGAGACACGGCCCAGACUCCUACGGGAGGCAGCAGUGGGGAAUAUUGGACAAUGGGCGCAAGCCUGAUCCAGCAAUGCCGCGUGAGUGAUGAAGGCCUUAGGGUUGUAAAGCUCUUUUUACCCGGGAUGAUAAUGACAGUACCGGGAGAAUAAGCUCCGGCUAACUCCGUGCCAGCCGCCGCCGUUAAG
This 472-nucleotide ribosomal RNA is filed under the name uncultured bacterium. Its description in RNAcentral is "bacterial SSU rRNA". It matches the Rfam family "Bacterial small subunit ribosomal RNA", at positions 9 to 525 of the family's 1533-position model. The record is from RNAcentral.